UUUCCGUAGGUGAACCUGCGGAAGGAUCAUUAUCAUGUAAUUCAGUCCCCUUGGCUGUGUUAUAUAUAUACCCACUCUGUGUACCUUCUCCUGUUGCUUCCGCUGGGUGUGUAAUUCGCCCGGCGGAAGGGUAAAAAUAACCUCUGAGUAUUGAUGAAAUCUCUGUCUGAACCGAAUAGAAAGAAGAAUGUUAAAACUUUCAGCAACGGAUCUCUUGGUUCUC
Molecule: unclassified non-coding RNA, 223 nt
Filed under: plant metagenome
Description: partial contains small subunit ribosomal RNA, internal transcribed spacer 1, and 5.8S ribosomal RNA
Source: RNAcentral